AUGAACCAGGCUUUAGGUCACACUCCGGUGAGAACUCCAGUAGGUUCCGGCAACCUACGAUUUGGUAGAAUGGUAGAUGAAAAUUGAAGAUUUGGAGCCUAGCCUUUAGAUACAACAAUAAUGCGAAAAGCAAAGAACGGUAUGUAUAUAUGUAAUAUUGGGUUUUAAACUCUUCAUUUCCUUGAGUUUGGUAGAUGAGUUUAUGAGAUUGUUUUUUUUACAUUAUGAAGAACAUUGAAAGGUCAUGAAGGCCGCUACAUAGGUAAAGGCGUCGUAUAGGUUAGGGCGGCAACUGGCAACGGCAUACCGGGAAGACAAACAGACACAGACGCUGCAUCAUCUUCUUCAACGGUUUAUAUGUAAUCCGUCGCGAAAGAGAAUAUUGUUUUAAUUG
RNAcentral lists this long non-coding RNA (394 nucleotides) under Helianthus annuus (common sunflower). RNAcentral describes it as "hypothetical non coding rna". Lineage: Eukaryota; Viridiplantae; Streptophyta; Magnoliopsida; Asterales; Asteraceae. The record is from RNAcentral.